This 530-nucleotide ribosomal RNA is filed under the name Alternaria sp. L6. RNAcentral describes it as "eukaryotic LSU rRNA". The stretch from base 164 to 317 matches the Rfam family "5.8S ribosomal RNA". The record is from RNAcentral. Lineage: Eukaryota; Fungi; Ascomycota; Dothideomycetes; Pleosporales; Pleosporaceae.
CAAAUAUGAAGGCGGGCUGGAACCUCUCGGGGUUACAGCCUUGCUGAAUUAUUCACCCUUGUCUUUUGCGUACUUCUUGUUUCCUUGGUGGGUUCGCCCACCACUAGGACAAACAUAAACCUUUUGUAAUUGCAAUCAGCGUCAGUAACAAAUUAAUAAUUACAACUUUCAACAACGGAUCUCUUGGUUCUGGCAUCGAUGAAGAACGCAGCGAAAUGCGAUAAGUAGUGUGAAUUGCAGAAUUCAGUGAAUCAUCGAAUCUUUGAACGCACAUUGCGCCCUUUGGUAUUCCAAAGGGCAUGCCUGUUCGAGCGUCAUUUGUACCCUCAAGCUUUGCUUGGUGUUGAGCGUCUUGUCUCUAGCUUUGCUGGAGACUCGCCUUAAAGUAAUUGGCAGCCGGCCUACUGGUUUCGGAGCGCAGCACAAGUCGCACUCUCUAUCAGCAAAGGUCUAGCAUCCAUUAAGCCUUUUUUUUCAACUUUUGACCUCGGAUCAGGUAGGGAUACCCGCUGAACUUAAGCAUAUCAAUA